RNAcentral lists this ribosomal RNA (520 nucleotides) under uncultured Entrophospora. RNAcentral describes it as "SSU rRNA". It matches the Rfam family "Eukaryotic small subunit ribosomal RNA", at positions 569 to 1085 of the family's 1831-position model. The record is from RNAcentral. Lineage: Eukaryota; Fungi; Glomeromycota; Glomeromycetes; Entrophosporales; Entrophosporaceae.
AGCAGCCGCGGUAAUUCCAGCUCCAAUAGCGUAUAUUAAAGUUGUUGCAGUUAAAAAGCUCGUAGUUGAAUUUCGGGAUUGACACAUCGGUCGUGCCCUAAGGGGUAUGAACUGGUGUAGUCAAUUUCUCACCUUCUGGAGAACCGCGAUGCCCUUAAUUGGGUGUCACGGGGAACCAGGACCUUUACUUUGAAAAAAUUAGAGUGUUUAAAGCAAGCAUUUUGCUUGAAUACAUUAGCAUGGAAUAAUAAAAUAGGACGGCAUGAUUCUAUUUUGUUGGUUUCUAGGAUCACCGUAAUGAUUAAUAGGGAUAGUUGGGGGCAUUAGUAUUCAAUUGUCAGAGGUGAAAUUCUUGGAUUUAUUGAAGACUAACUACUGCGAAAGCAUUUGCCAAGGAUGUUUUCAUUAAUCAAGAACGAAAGUUAGGGGAUCGAAGACGAUCAGAUACCGUCGUAGUCUUAACCAUAAACUAUGCCGACUAGGAAUCAGACGAUGUUAAUUUUUAAUGACUCGUUUGGCA